AACAUGCCUUUUCCAAAGUUACUCCAGCAAAUUGAAGUGGCCAGAACCCAAGCGCGUGCAACAACAGCAUCGCAGGACGGGACGAGAAUUGACCAACGUUAUAGCGCCCACUAUAUGCAACGCACAACGCAAUAACGUUAGCUGUUCGUUCCCGAAGAAGUGCCUCUACGUUUGCACAACUUUUUCUUACUUACAACGCCAAUUAAAUUUUCCUGAAUUCGCGAACCGACCGGCACUGACAGCAUCAACUCGAAAGCUCUGAAUCGUCUUCUUCAAACUGUAACGCUGCUAAAUCGUGAUUGGGGUUCUUUCUACUCACACUCACACUCGCUAUCUCUCCAGCAUUGUCAGUUUGGACACCUUCGCACAUGCGCAUAGCCAAACUGUCAGCGCCGCC
This is a long non-coding RNA of Esox lucius (northern pike), 397 nucleotides long. RefSeq lists it as uncharacterized. The transcript has 2 exons. Lineage: Eukaryota; Metazoa; Chordata; Actinopteri; Esociformes; Esocidae. The record is from RefSeq and is a predicted model, not a curated record.